RNAcentral lists this ribosomal RNA (253 nucleotides) under uncultured bacterium. RNAcentral describes it as "partial 16S ribosomal RNA". It matches the Rfam family "Bacterial small subunit ribosomal RNA", at positions 524 to 776 of the family's 1533-position model. The record is from RNAcentral.
UACGUAGGGGGCUAGCGUUGUCCGGAAUCAUUGGGCGUAAAGCGCGCGUAGGCGGCCCAGUAAGUCCGUUGUAAAAGUCAAAGGCUCAACCUUUGAAAGCCGAUGGAUACUGCUGGGCUAGAGUCCGGAAGAGGCGAGUGGAAUUCCUGGUGUAGCGGUGGAAUGCGCAGAUAUCAGGAGGAACACCGAUAGCGAAGGCAGCUCGCUGGGACGGUACUGACGCUGAGACGCGAAAGCGUGGGGAGCGAACAGG